UACGGGAGGCAGCAGUGGGGAAUCUUGCGCAAUGGGCGAAAGCCUGACGCAGCAACGCCGCGUGCGGGAAGAAGGCUUUCGGGCUGUAAACCGCUUUCAGCAGGAACGAAAAUGACGGUACC
This 122-nucleotide ribosomal RNA is filed under the name uncultured bacterium. Its description in RNAcentral is "partial 16S ribosomal RNA". It matches the Rfam family "Bacterial small subunit ribosomal RNA", at positions 340 to 479 of the family's 1533-position model. The record is from RNAcentral.